AAAUGAAUAGACGGGGGCCCGCACAAGCAGUGGAGUAUGUGGUUUAAUUCGAAGCAACGCGAAGAACCUUACCAGGACUUGACAUGCACUUGGAUAUGCUAGAAAUAGCGUAGUCUUUCGGGACAGGUGCACAGGUGGUGCAUGGUUGUCGUCAGCUCGUGUCGUGAGAUGUUGGGUUAAGUCCCGCAACGAGCGCAACCCUUGUCGUUAGUUGCCAUCAUUAAGUUGGGCACUCUAACGAGACUGCCGGUGACAAAUCGGAGGAAGGUGGGGACGACGUCAAAUCAUCAUGCCCCUUAUGUUCUGGGCUACACACGUACUACAAUGGCCAUUACAGAGGGAAGCGAAGGAGCAAUCCGGAGCAAAUCCCGAAAGAUGGUCCCAGUUCGGAUUGUGGGCUGAAACCCGCCCACAUGAAGCAGGAAUUGCUAGUAAUGGCAGGUCAGCAUACUGCCGUGAAUACGUUCCCGGGCCUUGUACACACCGCCCGU
Molecule: ribosomal RNA, 491 nt
Filed under: uncultured bacterium
Lineage: Bacteria
Description: bacterial SSU rRNA
Rfam family: Bacterial small subunit ribosomal RNA
Source: RNAcentral